RNAcentral lists this long non-coding RNA (443 nucleotides) under Equus caballus (horse). RNAcentral describes it as "lncRNA (ENSECAG00000038201.3)". Lineage: Eukaryota; Metazoa; Chordata; Mammalia; Perissodactyla; Equidae. The record is from RNAcentral.
AAAAGAAAAUAGCAACCACCUGAAAGAUGACCAUAACAAGCCCAAGCCACGUAGCGAGUAGGAAGUGGAAAGUUUGCCUCUCAUCUGUGGUGCAUACCACAAGGAUGGUUGCUGUUUCAUUAGAGCCAAAAGAAAGACCAACCAAAUCCUUCCGAGAUUUCACGGCGACCACUACUGCAGGGAGAUCGCUUGGUGGGUUCGGUGAUAAUGCAUCUGCAGAACUGACCCUUCAGAGCAGUGUGGGAAACUGUCAUACAAGUGUAAAGAGGACCACCCACCUACCACUGGGCCCUUUGAGUAUGGUCAACCCCAUGAGGUGUAAAUGUAAGACCACAGGAGAAAAUAGGCUUCUAUGUCAGAUUACAUAUUCCUUCUCAGCUCCAGCAGGGCCAUUAGCAGCUGAGAGAAGACAGGAGGUCACCAAAUCACAGUGCUAGGUGGUC